GGGGUUGUAGCUCAGUUGGUAGAGUGCUUGCCUUGUAUGCACACGGCCCUGGGUUUGAUCCCCAGCACCAUCC
Molecule: transfer RNA, 73 nt
Filed under: Ictidomys tridecemlineatus (thirteen-lined ground squirrel)
Lineage: Eukaryota; Metazoa; Chordata; Mammalia; Rodentia; Sciuridae
Description: Spermophilus tridecemlineatus (thirteen-lined ground squirrel) tRNA
Rfam family: tRNA
About the family: Transfer RNA (tRNA) molecules are approximately 80 nucleotides in length. Their secondary structure includes four short double-helical elements and three loops (D, anti-codon, and T loops). Further hydrogen bonds mediate the characteristic L-shaped molecular structure. tRNAs have two regions of fundamental functional importance: the anti-codon, which is responsible for specific mRNA codon recognition, and the 3' end, to which the tRNAs corresponding amino acid is attached (by aminoacyl-tRNA synthetases). tRNAs cope with the degeneracy of the genetic code in two manners: having more than one tRNA (with a specific anti-codon) for a particular amino acid; and 'wobble' base-pairing, i.e. permitting non-standard base-pairing at the 3rd anti-codon position.
Source: Rfam by way of RNAcentral